This is a long non-coding RNA of Apis cerana (Asiatic honeybee), 2317 nucleotides long. RefSeq lists it as uncharacterized. The record is from RefSeq and is a predicted model, not a curated record. NCBI's taxonomy places the organism in Eukaryota, Metazoa, Arthropoda, Insecta, Hymenoptera, Apidae.
GCUGCGCCCGCCGCUGUUGCAGCUGCAGCCGCUGCUGCUGGUAAUCCUGCCGCUGCACCUGGUAGCGUUGCAUACGUGUAUGGUGUCACGUAACUCGCUGCCGCUGCAUUCGCUGUAAAAAGAAAGAAAAGAAAAAAGGAAGCAACGGUGGAAUAUCGUGAUGCUGAAACAUGGAAGCUGACACGGGGGACAGGUGGAUCUAAAUAAAGAUUGGAGCAGCGCCAGAAUCUUCAAGAUGGCCGAACCGAGAGAUGCAAGGCGUGUCGUCGUCGUCGUCGUCGUCGUCGUCGUCAUCGUCGAGCACGAUUUCUUGAAAACUUACGACACACCACGAAUUCACCCAAGCAACGAGAAAAGUCCUUCCGGUGUUGGAUUUCACCUUUCCACCUACGCGUACGCUGAUUUGAGGACACGCACGAGUUUAUGCGAUUCCGAUUCGUCGAUUGAAAAUUUUUCUCUUUCAUCGCGGAUUCUCGUCUUCGGGACGAAGAAAAAGAAAGUCGGGGGGCGGGCCAGCAGCUUUUUGAAACAGCGAACAGAAACGUAUCGAUUCCGUCCCUCUUCGACUCCCCUAUUAUUAAAUACAGUGAUACAGACGGUGCACACCGAUUGUUAUAUUAUUAAAGAAAAAAAAAAAAAAAGGAGAAAAAAAAAACCAUGUACAACACCAAAAAAAUACAACACCAAUAGCGACACCAAGUGUAGUGUAAGCCUUCACCACACACACAAGGUUAUUAUUAAUUGUAUUAUAAUUAUGGUUAGCCUGUACACUCCGUCGAAUCUUCGUCGAAUUUAUCCGAACAAAAAGGAUUCGCGUUAGUAAGAGAGAGAGAGAAAAAAAUUACUUCUCUAAAAUCAGAAUUAACCUAUAUAUAUAUAUAUAUAUAUAUAUAUAUAUAUAUAUAUAUAUAUAUAUAUAUUCUUACCGAUACAAGAACGAAUUUAUUUUAUUUUGUUCGUUUCUUUCUCUCUCUCUCUUUUUCUCUCUCGCUCGCUCUCGCUCUCGCUCUCUCUCUCUCUCUCUCUCCCUCUCUUUUCCGUGGUAACGAUUUCCACGUUUCGAUAACCGUUCGAUAUCUCGACGAAUUUCUACGCUGCGGCUAAGAAAUCUGACUGGGCCAAACCGAGUGUACCGCGAUAAAAUCGAUUGGCACGAUGAAAAAUUAAUGAAACGUUGCCGUGUUUCGCGGCGGUGCGGGUCGAUUUCCGGUGAAAAAUACGGGAGAUCCACACCGGUUCGGAGAAAUCGACCGUAUUCGUUCAUAAUUCAACGAAAUUCUGUUGCACACGGUUAAUCUCCUCUCCAUAUUUCUCUUUCUUUCCUUCCUUCCUUCCUUCUUCCUCUCUUUCUUCUUUCUCCCUCCCUUUCCUCUUAUCUGCUCUCCUCCCCUUCCUCUUCCCCUCCCCCUCCCCGCCGCCCUGUUUAUUUUCGAAUAAUCGGAUAAAUAAUUCACGCGAGCGCCUCCGCGCGAGUUUCCCGCGAACUAAUAUUUCGAGGGAUUCAGCGCGAUUCGCGAAGAAUUUCGCGAGCUGUGUAGUAGCGAAUAAAUGUUAUCGAUGAAUCUUUACCUUGCGUUUUACCGUGAACGCGCAAACGUUACACCGGAAUUACGGAUUCGACAAAAGUGAAACGAAUGAACGAGACGAACGGAAAGGAAUUAACGCGCGAAAAUUAAUCGAAAAGGGGGAAGGAUAUUCGAUAUACGGAAUAUACAUACGAUACGACACGAGAGUGAACAGAUGCUAUGAAAAAAAAAGAAAAAAGAAAAAAAAAGAAAAAGUAGUCUAUCCAUGGAAACUAUCCGCGUGUGUAUCUUGUAUAUUCGCCGAUGUGUGCGUGGCUAUCGAUGAUGAUAGAUUUUGCAACGUUUUAACGGCAAGUUAUAUUAGCUGAACAACGUAGGCCACGUUGUCUCGAAGUUACUACCACGUUCGCUAGAUUAUUAAACGUUGUAAACUAAUGAUCGAAAGACAAAAUUAUCCCUAAAUUGGAAGAUGAUAAUCACGCGCGUGAUUAUUCCUUUUUUUUUUUAAUUAAUAUUAAUAUUAAUUAAUUAUUAUGAUUAAAGAAAAAGAGUGUAAAAGAGUGUAAAGACCAAAAAAGUCAAAACCAGUAAACAAACAAAUCUCUCAGCAACCGCAAAUCAAUUAUCAUAUCACUUCACGUCAACCUCAUCAAUAAAGAAGAAACAAAAAAAACACAACCAAAAAAAUACUAGUAAUAGGUACUAGAAGAAGAGGCCGAUCCUCGGAAGUCGACAUUUUGACAGUUUUUGUAGAAAUAAUAUAUCGUGGGUACUCAUGGCUUCUGAUUGUA